UAGAAGUUAGUUAAAACAAUAAAUAAUAUAAACUUGUCAUGUUUAAGUUAAAAAUUUACUUCUAA
Molecule: transfer RNA, 65 nt
Filed under: Proasellus coxalis
Lineage: Eukaryota; Metazoa; Arthropoda; Malacostraca; Isopoda; Asellidae
Also listed under: 1 other name
Description: transfert RNA-D(GAC)
Source: RNAcentral